CAGUCGCCACGGUAAUACAGAGGGUGCGAGCGUUAAUCGGAUUUACUGGGCGUAAAGCGUGCGUAGGCGGCUUCUUAAGUCGGAUGUGAAAUCCCUGAGCUUAACUUAGGAAUUGCAUUCGAUACUGGGAAGCUAGAGUAUGGGAGAGGAUGGUAGAAUUCCAGGUGUAGCGGUGAAAUGCGUAGAGAUCUGGAGGAAUACCGAUGGCGAAGGCAGCCAUCUGGCCUAAUACUGACGCUGAGGUACGAAAGCAUGGGGAGCAAACAGGAUUAGAUACCCCUGUGUCCCUGUCUCUUAUACA
Molecule: ribosomal RNA, 301 nt
Filed under: uncultured bacterium
Lineage: Bacteria
Description: partial 16S ribosomal RNA
Rfam family: Bacterial small subunit ribosomal RNA
Source: RNAcentral